AACAGGAUUAGAUACCCUGGUAGUCCACGCCGUAAACGAUGAGUGCUAGGUGUUAGGGGUUUCCACCCUUAGUGCUGCAGUUAACGCAAUAAGCACUCCGCCCGGGGAGUACGGCCGCAAGGCUGAAACUCAAAGGAAUUGACGGGGGCCCGCACAAGCGGUGGAGCAUGUGGUUUAAUUUGAAGCAACGCGAAGAACCUUACCAGGUCUUGACAUCUUCGGACCACCCUAGAGAUAGGGUCUUCCCUUCGGGGACCGAAUGACAGGUGGUGCAUGGUUGUCGUCAGCUCGUGUCGUGAGAUGUUGGGUUAAGUCCCGCAACGAGCGCAACCCUUGUCCUUAGUUGCCAGCAUUAAGUUGGGCACUCUAAGGAGACUGCCGGUGACAAACCGGAGGAAGGUGGGGAUGACGUCAAAUCAUCAUGCCCCUUAUGACCUGGGCUACACACGUGCUACAAUGGAUGGUACAAAGGGCAGCAAAACCGCGAGGUCGAGCAAAUCCCAUAAAGCCAUUCUCAGUUCGGAUUGUAGGCUGCAACUCGCCUACAUGAAGCCGGAAUCGCUAGUAAUCGCGGAUCAGCAUGCCGCGGUGAAUACGUUCCCGGGCCUUGUACACACCGCCCGUCACACCACGAGAGUUGGCAACACCCGAAGUCGGUGAGGUAACCUUUUAUGGAGCCAGCCGCCGAAGGUGGGGUCAAUGAUUGGGGUGAAGUCGUAACAAGGUAACC
RNAcentral lists this ribosomal RNA (730 nucleotides) under uncultured bacterium. Its description in RNAcentral is "bacterial SSU rRNA". It matches the Rfam family "Bacterial small subunit ribosomal RNA", at positions 771 to 1501 of the family's 1533-position model. The record is from RNAcentral.